CAGUCGCCGCGGGAAUACGAAGGGUGCAAGCGUUAAUCGGAAUUACUGGGCGUAAAGCGUGCGUAGGCGGUGAGUUAAGUCUGCUGUGAAAUCCCCGGGCUCAACCUGGGAAUGGCAGUGGAUACUGGCUCGCUAGAGUGUGUCAGAGGAUGGUGGAAUUCCCGGUGUAGCGGUGAAAUGCGUAGAGAUCGGAAGGAACACCUGUGGCGAAAGCGGCUCACUGGACCAUUUCUGACGCUGAUGCACGAAAGCUAGGGGAGCAAACAGGAUUAGAGACCCCGGUAGUCCCUGUCUCUUAUAC
Molecule: ribosomal RNA, 301 nt
Filed under: uncultured bacterium
Lineage: Bacteria
Description: partial 16S ribosomal RNA
Rfam family: Bacterial small subunit ribosomal RNA
Source: RNAcentral